CCACUUUUUAAUACUUUAGAAAUAAAUAAAUAAGUAAAUGGGAAGGAAAACCCAAACUGAGCUCCUCUUCCUCCUGGAAGGCUCUUCCUCACCCUUCGGAGCACCCUGACCUGGUUUUGCUGCAUCCUCCGAAGCGACAGUGCCUGAGUUUCCUCUACCAGAUUUUGGCUGUGUGUGGGCUGGAUGUCACCAACCGGCGUUGUUUUCAGUGCUAAAACUCCAGGAGGAUCCAUGCAAUGGGAUUCCUCAAAUAAAAAAAGCAUUCCCUCUGUUGGCGCUUGCACUGCGCUGCUCAGGGUGCUGCUGUGUCCCUGGAUAUCGGGACUCUGGUGCACCCAGCUGCUUGCUGGGGAUGCUGUUUGCUAGGAAUUUCAUCCUGACUUAUGUUUCGUAUCCCCAGCGUGCUCGGAGAACCAUCCUUGUGGAGGACUUCGGUGCACUGAACUGCAGAGCCCCAGCAUUGGGGGAUCCUGGAGCUGGAUCACCUUCUUCUAAACCCCGUUCGUGGCAAACCUCAUCUCUUUAUUCAGCUGAUAGCCUUUUGGGACCUGGCUAAAAGCUUCUCCGUCCUUCAAUGUGAAGGGUGUCCUAUAGGCCAACACAAAGAGCUCAGCACCAGCAGCCCUGCGAAUUCCCGCUGUUCAAAAAGUCUUAUAAUGGGCAACCAACCUCUGGGAGACGGUUUGUGAAUUGGUUGAAAUAACAGGCCUGGCUCUCUUCUGGGAAGCUACGUGGAGGUCAGCCUUGAAGAAAAGAGCGGUACAGCAGCUCCAAGCAUUAGCAAGAAGAAAUAACUGAAGCAGAGAGACUUGAACGUAAUUACAGCCUAAGAGCUGCGAUGGGAACUCAGCGACCUGAGCCCAUCUCCUGGACUCCUGUGCAAUCAACAGAUUGACACCACCAGCUCGUGAGGGCUGGUUUCUGGAAGCUGUGCAACGGUGCUGAAUGCCAGAGCAGGUGUAGAAGCAGCACAGGUGGCUGUUCCAAAGGCUGGAGCUAGGAAAGGGUCUCAAAUGCCAUGGAAGAAGCAGAUGGAAGCAACCACUGGAACGCUCCGCGCUUAAUUGAGGGCACCUUCAAGGGUGAGCACGAGGUGACUGCCCACCACCAGGAUGCUCUGCUGCUGCCACGCGAGUCGCUGUCAUUAGAACCAGGAAUGGAGUUUAUAGCUGAGUAACCACAACAACUUUGCACAAAUUAAACAACAUACUGCAGGUUAAUUAGAUUUCUUACUGCUGCCUCAAUUAACUUAGCCCUGUCGUCUGCUGUCAGAAGUGGAUGGAGACCCUUUGAAAUUCAUGGGCUCUAUCGCUGGGAGAUGGGAAUGGCAAAACCUCUCCCUGGGCAACAACACCUCUGAGUGAUGUGUGUUUGCAUGGAUGGGCGAUGCCAUCUUCUGUGCUUGGAAACCCCUUUGUGUGGCAGGGGAGAACAGCAGGAGAUGCACUCGUCCUCCACCAGCGUGGUGACCAAGGAGGAUUUCCCCCCUGGUGUUUCAAACUCACCUCGUUGUAAGACAAUCUUAAAAAACAAAUAGCAAAAAAAAAAAAUAUAUAUAUAUAUAUAUAUAUGGAGGAAAAGUCUUUUUUUUUUUUUUCCUUAAUCGUUCCACACAACGCUGUGUGAAUGCAAAUAAAUAAAAGGGCCCCCUAUGAAAACAUCUGAGAAUGCUGGUUUGUAUUUUUAAACCAAUUUCCUUCGACUGUGUCAGGGCCUGUUUUGUGUUUGCUCGACAAUUAUGUGGCUAAUGAGGACAGCCACAGCUACAUUAGGCAGGAUUAGGAAGAAUAAGGCUACAAAUGCUUCAGUGCUUAAGACAACCACUGACUAAUGGGGGGUAGGAGGGCACGCUCCUGGAGCAGGCAGCUCCUCACAGGGUUUCUCGUGCUGCUUGGUUGGGCAGGAGGGAAGGGGAAGAGCAGGAGUGACAAGAAGGGCUUCUUGUCCCAUCUGCUGAGGGGUGGCCAUGCCUGUGGGAUAGGAAGAAGCUCGGGGUGCAAAGCAAAACAUCUCAUCCUCAAUGCCCUCCUCACAAAGAGAGCUUUGUUGAAUGGCCAGGACUGAGGUGUAAACCUGGAAAAGGCUGUAUGAAUGCUCAUGAACCAACCCCAAAAAUGAGCAGCUGUGGUUGUACCGAGAGCCCUGCUUCUCUGACAGCAUCGUGGCUUGGAUGUGUUUAUCACAAGAGGAGGUCACUGGAGAUGCCUUUUCCUGUCAGUCGUUCUGAAGGGUACAGCUCUGCAGAAGGGUUGAGGUGGCAUGGUGCCUACUCUUCCUCCCUCUCUUUCUGUUGCCACUGUGAUCCCUAUUGCUGAUUCUCCAGCUGCUUCUUUGGUCCCAGUGCUUGGUCUCGUUGCUACGAUCCCACAGUCUGUAGGGUUGCAAUAGUCCUCCAGCUGAGGAGAGGUGCCUGCAGCUCAUGGAGACCCCACAGAGACCCCAAUCCCUGGGCACGGGGCUGUUUUCACCAGCUGCAGACCAGG
RNAcentral lists this long non-coding RNA (2483 nucleotides) under Gallus gallus (chicken). RNAcentral's name for it is "lncRNA (ENSGALG00010020479.1)". Lineage: Eukaryota; Metazoa; Chordata; Aves; Galliformes; Phasianidae. The record is from RNAcentral.